UAGGGAAUCUUCCACAAUGGGCGCAAGCCUGAUGGAGCAACACCGCGUGAGUGAAGAAGGGUUUCGGCUCGUAAAGCUCUGUUGUUAAAGAAGAACACGUAUGAGAGUAACUGUUCAUACGUUGACGGUAUUUAACCAGAAAGUCACGGCUAACUACGUGCCAGCAGCCGCGGUAAUACGUAGGUGGCAAGCGUUAUCCGGAUUUAUUGGGCGUAAAGAGAGUGCAGGCGGUUUUCUAAGUCUGAUGUGAAAGCCUUCUUCUGCUUAACCGGAGAAGUGCAUCGGAAACUGGAUAACUUGAGUGCAGAAGAGGGUAGUGGAACUCCAUGUGUAGCGGUGGAAUGCGUAGAUAUAUGGAAGAACACCAGUGGCGAAGGCGGCUACCUGGUCUGCAACUGACGCUGAGACUCGAAAGCAUGGGUAGCGAACAGGAUUAGAUACCCUGGUAGUCCAUGCCGUAACGAUGAGUGCUAGGUGUUGGAGGGUUUCCGCCCUUCAGUGCCGGAGCUAACGCAUUAAGCACUCCGCCUGGGGAGUACGACCGCAAGGUU
This 551-nucleotide ribosomal RNA is filed under the name uncultured bacterium. Its description in RNAcentral is "bacterial SSU rRNA". It matches the Rfam family "Bacterial small subunit ribosomal RNA", at positions 355 to 895 of the family's 1533-position model. The record is from RNAcentral.